Molecule: long non-coding RNA, 732 nt
Organism: Epinephelus moara (kelp grouper)
Lineage: Eukaryota; Metazoa; Chordata; Actinopteri; Perciformes; Serranidae
Exons: 6
Source: RefSeq, a predicted model, not a curated record
UACUAUGGCUUUUCCCGACAUACCAUACAACGACUUUCAUACUACUACUCUGAUGUUGUAGCAGACCUCCAAUAUGGCUCUCACCUGUGUUCACUGCAGGUGGAGGAAUACACUGCACUGACAAAAAGCCCAACACAGAAGAACCUGGACAAUAUGCGCACACAGAAAAAUCCUGAUGAGAAGAAGUUGGAUGGCUACUAUUGGGGUUUUGGAAAAAUGAGCUGCUGAAUAAUGACAUGGCACAAGUUAGGAAGCAAAAGAACAAGCAAGACCUGUUACGUCACCCUCUGUGAGCACAUCCUGGAGAGUUGCUUUUCCGAAACAAGUUUCCAUGGGUGGAAGUCAUUUGCAGACAAUGCUGGAGAAGCAGCGAGAGAACCACAGGGAGUUAUUCAGAAGCAGCUCAGCUGCCUCUGAGACAAGGUCAAAGACAAGCAGAGGAUGCCAGACGAACUCACAGAUCUGCUGAAUGAACAAAGGGACUUGAAGGGCCCAGAGGAGACGGCAAGUGGAGUGCACCAAACCAAAAUGUGAUAAGUGCCCAGCUUCUGAACCAACCUGAAGCUAGCAAGUUUCUUCACAUCAUUGUCGCCAUCUUCUACUGACUGUCAGUUCUGCAGUGUCACAGUGCUUUGUUUGGUCUCAAUGAUAAGUUCGAAUAAAGUAAAAUUCUGGUUUUCUGUGCCAUAACCCCUGCGUUUUACUUCCCCGAAACACCGGGAGGAGACGCAC